UGGGAAUAUUGCACAAUGGGGAACCCGUGAUGCAGCGACGCCGCGUGGAGGAAGAAGGUCUUCGGAUUGUAAACUCCUGUUGUUGAGGAAAAGAAGGAUGGUACUCAACAAGGAAGUGACGGCUAACUACGUGCCAGCAGCCGCGGUAAACGUAGGUCACAAGCGUUGUCCGGAAUUACUGGGUGUAAAGGGAGCGCAGGCGGGUAUGCAAGUUGGGAGUGAAAUACAUGGGCUCAACCCAUGAACUGCUCUCAAAACUGUGUAUCUUGAGUAGUGCAGAGGUAGGCGGAAUUCCCGGUGUAGCGGUGGAAUGCGUAGAUAUCGGGAGGAACACCAGUGGCGAAGGCGGCCUACUGGGCACCAACUGACGCUGAGGCUCGAAAGUGUGGGUAGC
Molecule: ribosomal RNA, 394 nt
Filed under: uncultured bacterium
Lineage: Bacteria
Description: bacterial SSU rRNA
Rfam family: Bacterial small subunit ribosomal RNA
Source: RNAcentral